Molecule: ribosomal RNA, 532 nt
Filed under: uncultured kinetoplastid
Lineage: Eukaryota; Euglenozoa; Kinetoplastea
Description: bacterial SSU rRNA
Rfam family: Eukaryotic small subunit ribosomal RNA
Source: RNAcentral
GCUGUUAAGGGUUCGUAGUUGAAUUCAGAGUUGUGAGAAUUUUGCUGCUUCGUGCAGCUUUUCUCCCAACUCUGUCAUAGACGGGGCCGGAGUCUGCGGAAGCGGGCCUUCACUGGCACCGCGGUGCUAUUCAUCGAAGAGGUGAAUAUUACACAGCAAACGCCUGUAUUGACCGCCCGUCGUUUCACUGUGAACAAAACAGCGUGUUCAAAGCAGCCGCCUAGCGGUUGGAUGACAAGCAUGGAAUGACAAAGCAUCGACCAGUUGGUCCGUCUUUUGUCGGUUUUUACGAUCACGUGGAUAAUCCGUUUUCGAAGCCUUCCUUGUUUCAAAGGGUGCACGCACCCCUUGGGCCUGGACUUCGAUGAACACGGGAUUAAUGGGGGUUGUCGGGGGAAAACGUAUCUGAGCGUGGAGGUGAAAUUCUUAGACCGCUCGGGGACGAACUUAUGCGAAGGCAUUUUCCAAGUAUCCUUCAUCAAUCAAGAACUAAAGUGUGGAGAUCGAAGAUGAUUAGAUAAAGUUGUAGUCC